Molecule: transfer RNA, 71 nt
Organism: Loxodonta africana (African savanna elephant)
Lineage: Eukaryota; Metazoa; Chordata; Mammalia; Proboscidea; Elephantidae
Rfam family: tRNA
About the family: Transfer RNA (tRNA) molecules are approximately 80 nucleotides in length.
Source: Rfam
GCAGUGGUGGUUCAGUGGUAGAAUUCUCACCUUCCAUGCCAAAGACCCGGGUUUGAUUCCCAGCCAAUGCA